This 520-nucleotide ribosomal RNA is filed under the name uncultured bacterium. Its description in RNAcentral is "partial 16S ribosomal RNA". It matches the Rfam family "Bacterial small subunit ribosomal RNA", at positions 29 to 523 of the family's 1533-position model. The record is from RNAcentral.
AACGAACGCUGGCGGCGUGCUUAACACAUGCAAGUCGAACGCGAAAGGGGACUUCGGUUCCUGAGUAGAGUGGCGCACGGGUGAGUAACGCGUAGGUAAUCUACCUUCAUAUCUGGGAUAACAUCGGGAAACCGGUGCUAAUACCGGAUACCUUCUUUUGUCCGCGAGUAUGGGAGAAGAAAGCUGCCCUCUGAAACAAGGUAGAGUAUGGGGAUGAGCCUGCGUACCAUUAGCUAGUAGGUGGGGUAAAGGCCUACCUAGGCGACGAUGGUUAGCGGGUCUGAGAGGAUGAUCCGCCACACUGGAACUGGAACACGGACCAGACUCCUACGGGAGGCAGCAGUGAGGAAUUUUGCGCAAUGGGGGCAACCCUGACGCAGCGACGCCGCGUGGGUGAAGAAGGUUUUCGGAUCGUAAAGCCCUGUCAGAAGGGAAGAAGUGCUGUAUGGUUAACACCCAUGCAGUUUGACGGUACCUUCAGAGGAAGCACCGGCUAACUCCGUGCCAGCAGCCGCGGUAA